AGAUAAACUGAUGCAUUGUCUAAAUUGAAACCAAACAAAACGCAAACAUAAGCUGAUUAAUUGUCUAAAUUCAAAAGAGAACAAAACACAAACAUUUCAAUUGUUGUUAAAGUUAUCAGAAACAUACAACUACAGUCUACAAGCAUCAGAAAGACAUCAUGUUCCUGUUACAUUGAAAAAAAGAUUCAUCAAUACCAAAAAUAAUUCAGACAGAGAAAAAACAGUUUAGAUUAUUACCCAAAAGCCGAGUAUGAGUCAUAUAGAUCUACUCGUUUACUCCUAAUGCUCCAAACUCUGAAAAUCAUUUAGAGAACACAAUUUCAGUAGGUAAAAGCAUACAAUGCUACAAGUAUAAUUGAGAAAUAAAGUAAAACCAACCUUUCUCCAGCUCAUCUUGUGUCACAAAGUCAGCAUAUAUAUAAGACAGAGUCAUA
RNAcentral lists this long non-coding RNA (434 nucleotides) under Arabidopsis lyrata. Its description in RNAcentral is "long non-coding RNA (ALYR_LNC002551)". Lineage: Eukaryota; Viridiplantae; Streptophyta; Magnoliopsida; Brassicales; Brassicaceae. The record is from RNAcentral.